AUGGCUACAAGGGAGGGCUGAAGUGGUACUGGAAGCAAAGGCCCUACCAGCGCGUCGACGGAUCCUUCUCCGGCCCUCGGCGCCGCCACAACAAGGCCGAGCUCGGCAACGGCCGCCGCCGCUUCUGGCGGUUCCGUAUCACCCCACGGCUGCGUCUCCUCCGCCGUCUAGCUUCUCCAAAGCGGAUACUGAGACGGAUCCGUGAUGCCUAUGUUAAUAUGAUGCUCAGUUUGACGGAGUCUACCAUGUUUGCUGGAGGUUACGGCUACGCCGGCGAGGGGAUCGCCGGGUUCGGGAGGCCGCAGCUGAAGGAGUACGAUGAGAAGAAACUGGUGGAGAUCUACAAAUCUAUCUUGGCUAAGGGUCAGCUGUUCGCCGCCACUGACGGCAGCGGCGCCGUUGCCAUUCCGAGGGUGGUGAUCCGACAGUAGGUUAUUUACUUUGUAUCUUUAUUACAUAUUUUAGCUUCUCAUUAAAUAUAAGUCGAUGAAAAUGACAUUGGCAGCGACUUGAAUUGAUGCGUUUGGGUCGAACGCUGUAGGCUAUAGUGCAUGUGGG
This 558-nucleotide unclassified non-coding RNA is filed under the name Hevea brasiliensis (rubber tree). Lineage: Eukaryota; Viridiplantae; Streptophyta; Magnoliopsida; Malpighiales; Euphorbiaceae. The record is from RNAcentral.